Long non-coding RNA from Gallus gallus (chicken), 1690 nucleotides. The record is from Ensembl. NCBI's taxonomy places the organism in Eukaryota, Metazoa, Chordata, Aves, Galliformes, Phasianidae.
CCCACACGAGGCCUCAACUGUGCCAGGCCCCCUCCAGCCUGGGCCCCGAGGCCACCACUGUGCUGGACCACCCUCCGGCACAGGCCCUGCCCCAAGCCCUGCCCCCUGUGGACAGCUCUGCUCUUUGCCUGCUUGGUUUUUGUUCUCUCUUCACUCUGCCAGCUUAACUGGAUGAGUUUCAAUGGGGCCGAGCGUCGGGUCCUGCAUUUUGGUCACAACAACCCCAGGCGUCCCCCCAGUCCUCCUUGGCGAGGAGUGGCUGGAAAGCUGCCUGAUCCCUGAAAGGGACCUUGGUGUGCUGAUGGACAGGUGGCUGAAGAUGAGCCAGCAGUGUGCCCAGGUGGCCAAGAAGGCCAAUGGCAUAACCACAAUUCCUGGCUCAGGAAUGGUGUGGUGAGCAGGACUAAGGAAGUCAUCCUGCCCCUGGACUCGGCACUGGCGAGGCCUCACCUCGAGUCCAGUGUUCAGUUUUGGGCACCUCAGCACAGAAGGGCUGUUGAGGUGCUGAAGCAGGUUGAAAGAAGGGCAACAAGGCUGGGGAAGGCCUUGGACAAUAUGCCCUCUGAGGAGUGAGUGAAGGAACUGGGGCUGUUUAGCGUGGGGAAAAGGAGGCUGAGGGGAGACCUGAUGGGCUCCCUAUUCCACCCAGGGAGCUGGUUCAGUCACCAUCCCUGAAUGUGUUGAAAACCAGGUGGUGCUCGGAGACAUGAUUGAGCAAGGGGUUGUUAGAGUUAGGCUGGUAUGGUUAGGUUGUGCUUAGACUGGAGGAUCUUUAAGGUCUUUGUGGCGACAAAAACUCCAACCAUCUCAAGCCUGGGGGAAAGGGGCUGACCCCAACGGUCACGCAACCCCCCCCCCUGGGGGGAGGGGCUCCCCUAACUGCCACUCUCCAGCUGUCAUGGCAGGUAAGGCAGCAGGCUUCCCCUGCCCCCAUGCUUCAGCUGGCCCCAGCGCUCCAGAUCCCACCCCUGUGCCCCAGAUCUCACCCCAGCAAACCAGAUCUCACCCCAGCAAACCAGAUCCCACCCCUGUAACCCCGAUAUCACCCCCGUAACCCAGAGCUCAUCCCAGAUCUCACCCCAGCGCCCCAGAUCCCACCCCUGUAACCCUGAUAUCACCCCCGUAACCCAGAGCUCACCCCAGUGUCCCAGAUCCCACCCCAGCGUCCCAGAACUCACCUCAGCGCCCCAGAUCCCAGCCCUGUAAGCCCGAUCUCAGCCCUGUGCCCCAGAUCCCACCCCAGCGCCCCAGAGCCCACCCCAGAGCCUGCUUUGGCCUUUCCCCACGGAGAGAAUCCCUCGAGGAGCGCUGACGGUGCCUCUGACACCCGACGCCAUUUUCCCUGAAGCGACUGUGCCGCCACCGGACCCCGCCUGGAUGCAGCCCACCAUCCGCGGACCGAUGCCGGUACCACCCCAAGCCCUCCCUGUCCCCACUGCCACCUACCUGGCGCCUCAGACCUCUGUCUGGCCUGGGGUACCAGGUGUCUGGGGACAGGCAGCGCAGCUCCCCCCUGGGGGGCUGCCCCCAACUGGGGCUCAACUGCCACCUGGGGGCCUGCCCCCAACUGUGGGGCUGCACUUACCGGUGCUGCAGCUGCUACCUGGGGGGCUGCACCCAGCUAUGGCUCCCCCCACUGCCCCUGCUCACUGCUGGGGACAUCCCCUGCUGGCAGGGACGCUGCUGCCCC